CAGUAGCCGCGGUAAUACGAAGGGUGCAAGCGUUACUCGGAAUCACUGGGCGUAAAGCGUGCGUAGGUGGUGGUUUAAGUCCGUUGUGAAGGCCCUGGGCUCAACCUGGGAAUUGCAGUGGAUACUGGGUCACUAGAGUGUGGUAGAGGAUAGUGGAAUUUCCGGUGUAGCAGUGAAAUGCGUAGAGAUCGGAAGGAACAUCUGUGGCGAAGGCGACUAUCUGGGCCAACACUGACGUUCAUGCCCGAAAGCGUGGGUAGCAAACAGGAUUAGAUACCCCCGUAGUCCCUGUCUCUUAUAC
Molecule: ribosomal RNA, 301 nt
Filed under: uncultured bacterium
Lineage: Bacteria
Description: partial 16S ribosomal RNA
Rfam family: Bacterial small subunit ribosomal RNA
Source: RNAcentral